CCUACGGGAGGCAGCAGUGAGGAAUAUUGGUCAAUGGCCGGAAGGCUGAACCAGCCAUGCCGCGUGAAGGUCAGUGCCCUAUGGGCGUUAAACUUCUUUUGUGCGGGAGCAAUAAUGGUCACGUGUGGCCAGACGAGAGUACCGUACGAAUAAGUAUCGGCUAACUCCGUGCCAGCAGCCGCGGUAAUACGGGGGAUGCAAGCGUUAUCCGGAUUUAUUGGGUUUAAAGGGUGCGUAGGCUGUGAGGUAAGUCAGCGGUGAAAUGCCCCCGCUCAACGGGGUGAAGUGCCAUUGAUACUGCCUGGCUGGAAUGCGGAUGCCGUGGGAGGAAUGUGUGGUGUAGCGGUGAAAUGCAUAGAUAUCACACAGAACACCGAGUGCGAAGGCAUCUCACGAAUCCGCGAUUGACGCUGAUGCACGAAAGCGUGGGUAUCAAACAGGAUUAGAUACCCCAGUAGUC
Molecule: ribosomal RNA, 460 nt
Filed under: uncultured bacterium
Lineage: Bacteria
Description: partial 16S ribosomal RNA
Rfam family: Bacterial small subunit ribosomal RNA
Source: RNAcentral